CGCCCUCCGAGGCCGACGCGGCCGGCGAGCGCCCCCCGAAGCCCCGCGGGAGGUGGCGGGACCAUCCAUCCCAGCGAACGGGGAUGGCGGGGCACAGACCCUGAGGCGGGAGUGCGGGGCCUGGGGCUCUUCUUGGGGUACCCUCGUGUCCCAGCUGGCAGCUUCGUGAGGACCGUGUGGGCUCGAGGGAUGUGUAGGGGAGGCAAGGUCAUGGAAGGACGGAGGUAGAGGAGGCUGCGUGAGGGGCCGGUGGUGAGGGUGUCCACGGCCACGGGAGGGAAGACCAUCCAGAUGGCGCUAGGAACCAUCGGGACCCACGCUGAGGCCUCGUCCCGGCACAGGAGCCUCGGGAAGUGACCCUGGAAAAGGUGGAGGGCGGCAGUGUUGGCACCCGACCCCGAUGGUCCGCCUCCGGGCUUCUCACACCAGCCUGUGGGCUCCUGAGGGAGAACAGUUCCUGGAAGAUUCAGAUGAGAUCCCACACUCGCCCUGGCGUCAUGCGUCAUGGCUGCGUAGAACCUGAGUAAACUUGGGCCCCGUUACAGACCAGGCAGUGCUCCUGCGACGAGGGGACCCAGCGGGAGGCUGCGUUCCAGCCCGGCCUGGAGGGACCCGGGGACCCUGCAGGCCGGGCUGAUGGCCAGGCCUUACCUGGCUUUCCCCAUGUGCUCCCAGCUUCGGUGCGGCCCGGACGUGCGGCCGCCGGGGAGAGAAGAGCCCCCGCCUGCGUCGGGAUGGCCCUCGCUGUGCCUCCUCCUCUGGAGUGGCUGGUGACGCCGUGUGCACAUCCACAUCUCAGCCCUGCCACUUCCCACCUGGGACCCUGGCGACUGAUGUCGGCUCCCCAAGCCUCAUUUCCUAGCCUGCAAACUCAUGACAUUCCCCCCCGGACACGGGGGCUGGGAGGGUGGCAUGGCUGAUGUGGGUAAAGGACCAGGGUCUGGCAUACAGAUGACCAGCUUUGUUA
Molecule: long non-coding RNA, 967 nt
Organism: Eptesicus fuscus (big brown bat)
Lineage: Eukaryota; Metazoa; Chordata; Mammalia; Chiroptera; Vespertilionidae
Exons: 2
Source: RefSeq, a predicted model, not a curated record